ACGGGUGAGUAAUGCCUAGGAAUCUGCCUGGUAGUGGGGGACAACGUUUCGAAAGGAACGCUAAUACCGCAUACGUCCUACGGGAGAAAGCAGGGGACCUUCGGGCCUUGCGCUAUCAGAUGAGCCUAGGUCGGAUUAGCUAGUUGGUGAGGUAAUGGCUCACCAAGGCGACGAUCCGUAACUGGUCUGAGAGGAUGAUCAGUCACACUGGAACUGAGACACGGUCCAGACUCCUACGGGAGGCAGCAGUGGGGAAUAUUGGACAAUGGGCGAAAGCCUGAUCCAGCCAUGCCGCGUGUGUGAAGAAGGUCUUCGGAUUGUAAAGCACUUUAAGUUGGGAGGAAGGGCAGUAACUUAAUACGUUGCUGUUUUGACGUUACCGACAGAAUAAGCACCGGCUAACUCUGUGCCAGCAGCCGCGGUAAUACAGAGGGUGCAAGCGUUAAUCGGAAUUACUGGGCGUAAAGCGCGCGUAGGUGGUUUGUUAAGUUGGAUGUGAAAGCCCCGGGCUCAACCUGGGAACUGCAUUCAAAACUGACAAGCUAGAGUAUGGUAGAGGGUGGUGGAAUUUCCUGUGUAGCGGUG
RNAcentral lists this ribosomal RNA (585 nucleotides) under Pseudomonas sp. StFRB266. RNAcentral describes it as "bacterial SSU rRNA". It matches the Rfam family "Bacterial small subunit ribosomal RNA", at positions 102 to 683 of the family's 1533-position model. Lineage: Bacteria; Pseudomonadati; Pseudomonadota; Gammaproteobacteria; Pseudomonadales; Pseudomonadaceae. The record is from RNAcentral.